Molecule: ribosomal RNA, 468 nt
Filed under: uncultured bacterium
Lineage: Bacteria
Description: partial 16S ribosomal RNA
Rfam family: Bacterial small subunit ribosomal RNA
Source: RNAcentral
GACGAACGCUGGCGGCGUGCUUAACACAUGCAAGUCGAACGGAAAGGCCCUGCUUUUGUGGGGUGCUCGAGUGGCGAACGGGUGAGUAACACGUGAGUAACCUGCCCUUGACUUUGGGAUAACUUCAGGAAACUAGGGCUAAUACCGGAUAGGAGCUCCUGCUGCAUGGUGGGGGUUGGAAAGUUUCGGCGGUUGGGGAUGGACUCGCGGCUUAUCAGCUUGUUGGUGGGGUAGUGGCUUACCCAGCGUUUGACGGGUAGCCGGCAUGGGAGGUUGACCGGCCACAUUGGGACUGAGAUACGGCCCAGACUCCAACGGGAGGCAGCAGGGGGGAAUAUUGCACAAUGGGCGGAAGCCUGAUGCAGCAACGCCGCGUGCGGGAUGACGGCCUUCGGGUUGUAAACCGCUUUCGCCUGUGACGAAGCGUGAGUGACGGUAAUGGGUAAAGAAGCACCGGCUAACUACGUG